This 115-nucleotide small RNA is filed under the name unclassified sequences. RNAcentral describes it as "LOOT RNA". It matches the Rfam family "LOOT RNA". From Rfam's summary of the family: Latescibacteria, OD1/Parcubacteria, OP11, TM7. Lineage (Microgenomates, aka OP11) The record is from Rfam by way of RNAcentral.
AGCCUAAACUCCUUAAAAGGAGCAUGGCACAAAUCCGGUAAAGGGUAUUAAGCUCCUCGUCGAGCACCUUUACCGGUCAUAUGCCGAAAGGUAUAUGGGUGGUCGCAAGACUAUC